UAUGCCAAAUGUUACCGGUUGAUGGCGCCACAUUUUCCGACUGCCGCCAUUUUUUGUUUGUUCUAAAAAGGUUGAUUUUAGUUUUAUUAUUUUAAAUUAUUUAAACAUUAUCACUGUUUUUUCCUAAUGUGGUGUUAGAAUAUGCCCAAGACACCGGGUAAAACUCCAUCUCCUACACUCACACCUAUAGGAAAGAAGAGACAAAGCAUUUCCAAGAAACAAUACACACCACUGAAAGAGAACAACUCAAACAGUGACGAUUUCGAAAACUUGGAAAAAAUUAUUAAAGAUAAAGAACAGCUUAUAGAUGAGCUAAAACGUGCUGAAAUUUUUAAGAAGAAAAACAAUCUCAAAGAAUUGGAAAAGCUGACGGCUUUAUGGAAAGCCGGCUGUAUGUCUGCCUUAAAUGACCUUUUGGCCUUGCAGCCCUACGGCAUAACAGACAUGGCAACGUUGCUCAUGAGUUUGAACGUAGAGCCGAAUUUAAUUACGUUAUCAGAGGAUGGUGACUUAGUUUAAAGCUGUACUAUACUUGAAAAAAAAAUACAAUAUGUAAUAUGUGUUGCUGGUUGCAUUUUACAGGCGUAAAAUCAUCUUUAAACACCUUACCGGAAGAGGAAAUGAAAAAACUUGCUAAAGUUAGAGAAUGUCUUUAUUACAUAUAAAAACAACUAUUACUUAAAUAAAUACACAGAUAAAUAUUAAA
Tribolium castaneum (red flour beetle) is the source of this 706-nucleotide RNA transcript. RefSeq lists it as hypothetical. The transcript has 3 exons. Lineage: Eukaryota; Metazoa; Arthropoda; Insecta; Coleoptera; Tenebrionidae. The record is from RefSeq and is a predicted model, not a curated record.